RNAcentral lists this long non-coding RNA (897 nucleotides) under Ananas comosus (pineapple). RNAcentral describes it as "long non-coding RNA (ACOM_LNC019891)". The record is from RNAcentral. Lineage: Eukaryota; Viridiplantae; Streptophyta; Magnoliopsida; Poales; Bromeliaceae.
UCCCAGUGGGUUCGGCCGCCGACCUCGCCGACUCACCCAUGUCACGCCCCGGGGUCCCUUUUUGUUUGAACACAGCAGAAAAAGCGUCUAAAUUUUUUUUUUGAAAACCUGACCCUAGAGUAUGCCAGAUCCGCCACAAAUACAGGGAUUCCACUGUUCACACGGACAGAGUCUCCCCUAUAUUUGCACGGCGUCGCACAAGUACAACAGUACAAACAGGAUACAACCACAACUAAAUGAAUAUAGAAAUAAUUAUUCAUUCAUACAUUCAUACAUUCACCAUUCACAUCACAGAUUUGCAUUUAAUAUUUAAACAUAAAUCCACAGAAAAUUCUUUUGAAAACUGUUUCCUACACGGAAACCUUUAUUCUUUAAAAAUGCUACCACGAGCGGUAGAAAACCUUUCCAUUUCACAAAAUCCACAAAUCCAUUUAUUAUAUUCAUGAAAACCCAUAUUUUCAAAUGUAAUAAAAUAUACUGAACCAUAUAAACUAUCUAAGCUAUAUCAACAUAAUAGUAAGGGUAGAACUAAACCGAAUAACCUGGGUCGGAAGCUCUAUCGACCGCUACGUAUCUUACGUCUCGUCUCAACCCUCACCGCCCGCGAUACCUGAAAAAUAGUGGGGGAGGUGAGAACAUGUAAACAUGUCUCCCCUCCCAGUAGGUACCGCAAGCCGAAGAAGGCGAGGAGUACUCACCGGAUCAGGAAUAGCUAACAACAACACCGGUCAGUGGAAAUAUAGUAGGAACAAUAAUAAACGAGAGAGAUGUAUAAGGUAAUGAGCAGAUAUACUGAAUACAGUAGCAAUAAACUGAAAGAAAGUAGGAACUAGACUGAAUAACAACUACCGCUACUGUAACUGGAACAGAAAGCAUACAUGAAUAUCUACUAUAGUA